CAAUAUGGUUGAAUUAUCAGCUAUAUGUGUCGCACGCCAUACACACUAUCCAUGGUGGUAUCCGAUGUACAUAUUGUGUAUCUGUACCCAUGGUGGAACCCGAUGACUGGUACCACCACAUGGCGAGGUAUGGCACAACUGGUAUUUAUUAAUAAGCGGUGCUGGUAUCUUUAAUAAUCUAAUUUGAAACAACUGAAUAAUGCGGUAAUAGAUCUGAAUAUGCUAGCGACCGAACAUGUUACGAUGACGUCAUUCAUAUACUUUAUAGAACACCUGAUAUCUCUUCUCUGGAAAUCAAUAAAUGCAUUUAGCAGCAUCUCAAAAGAACACCGGUGGUGCCAGCAUCCUGAAACUUUGGUAAAAGUCGAACUUCAGAGAGUUGUUAUUCGACGAAAAACAUCAAACGAAGAACUAGGGAUUGCUCGAAAACGUAGUACAUACCCUCGAAGAUAACUGAAAAUAAGUUAAAUAAAUGAAAUAUAUAAAAGAUAUGAAGCUUACAACAAGAAUUAAAUGUUUGAAACACGACAGAAUUAUACAAUUUGGAACCAAUUCCCUGAAAAAGAAACCUUUCUGUAAGAACAUAGUUGAGUAUUGGAAUGUAUUGAUUUUCUUCAUGGUUUAAGAAUCAAGUCUGCCUUGGUAGCAUUUGCAGCAACAAUCUUACCCGAAAUAACAGUUUUCUCUUUUAUUUUAAGAUUAACUAAGAAUAUAUUUGCAAGACUUUAACCACACAAAUUAUCUGUAAAAUUGCUUAUCAUCAUUAAAGACCUAUG
Long non-coding RNA from Patella vulgata (common limpet), 776 nucleotides. RefSeq lists it as uncharacterized. The record is from RefSeq and is a predicted model, not a curated record. Lineage: Eukaryota; Metazoa; Mollusca; Gastropoda; Patellidae. The transcript is spliced from 3 exons.